AGGGGUACAGCGCAGUGAUAGAGCGGUAUGCUUAGCAUGCAUGAAGUUUUGGGUUCAAUUCCUAGUACCUCCA
This 73-nucleotide transfer RNA is filed under the name Camelus bactrianus (Bactrian camel). It matches the Rfam family "tRNA". From Rfam's summary of the family: Transfer RNA (tRNA) molecules are approximately 80 nucleotides in length. Their secondary structure includes four short double-helical elements and three loops (D, anti-codon, and T loops). RNAcentral also lists the same sequence under 2 other names. The record is from Rfam by way of RNAcentral. Lineage: Eukaryota; Metazoa; Chordata; Mammalia; Artiodactyla; Camelidae.